UACAGGGGGGGCAAGCGUUGUUCGGAAUUACUGGGCGUAAAGAGCUCGUAGGCGGUUUGGCAAGUCGGAUGUGAAAUCUCCAGGCUCAACCUGGAGGGGUCAUUCGAAACUGCUAUGACUAGAGUUCGGUAGAGGAGUGUGGAAUUCCUGGUGUAGCGGUGAAAUGCGCAGAUAUCAGGAAGAACACCAAUGGCGAAAGCAGCUCUCUGGGACGGUACUGACGCUGAGACGCGAAAGCGUGGGGAGCGAACAGG
This 254-nucleotide ribosomal RNA is filed under the name uncultured bacterium. RNAcentral describes it as "partial 16S ribosomal RNA". It matches the Rfam family "Bacterial small subunit ribosomal RNA", at positions 524 to 776 of the family's 1533-position model. The record is from RNAcentral.